CUAGGGUUCAUGGAGCCAGCCCUCGCCUCCUGCUGGUGACAACCGUGAACAGAAUGUCCACCACGUGCCAGGACGCUAAUCCUCUCACAGCUCAGUGAGAGAUUCUGCACCCUCUUCACAGCGGAGCCCGCAGAACAGACCCAAAGUGCAGUGCCCUCUGGCCACCUGCAGAUCCCGGACUGUUUCUGCCAGUGCUCACUGGCCCCAAAGGAGACAGCACUGCUGGUUUUACUGCACGUGGUGAUUUCCUGUCCUCAGACGUGCUUUCUUCUUAUAAAGGGGUGACGUGGGGUUCAGGCCUGAGCCUAGUAGGAAUUCUGACACGUUUGGGCCCAUCUGUAGGAAAGGCUGGCCAGAGACUGUCGACGGGAAAGAUUCAUUCCAAGGACAGAGAGACCCAGGGCAGCCAGUGUGGCCUAGGAUCUGAGCUUCCAUCACCAGAACCAAGGGCGGAGAGAGCAUUGUUGCCUCUUGGGUGGUCCUUGGCGGCCCUCAUAGACACCUCUUUGACGUCCACAGAAAGGGAGCUUGAACAAAAUCUGAAAGGACCAUUUCAUCCAAAGUUCUGCGAGAGCUAAACGGUCCCCAGUAGGUCUACGACAUUCCCCUCCCCUGAAACUCCACCUAUGACUCAGCACUGCCCUCUCCUGGGUGGGGAGAUGCCGCCUUUGUGACGCAGGCCCCCAUCCCUCCCCAGGUUUGCGCCUCAGCCCAGUGAGCACCUCCCCUGGAGAGCCCAGCAGUGCUCAGGGGCAGACACUCACGCGGGCAGUGACCAGUCCGCAGCAGUCCCCGCUGACGCCGCACCAGCUGUGGGCCAGGUGCUAGGACCCUGUGACAAGUUGGGGCUCAGCCACCCAUGAGCCAAGGUCGGACCACGCUUUGCCCCCACUUGCUUGUUUAGAUCCCAACAUGGCAGCUCCGGUGGCAGGCCGGGAGGAACCCAGGCCCUUGUGCUGGGAUGCGCAGCACCGCUGGGGAGGGAGCUCCGACUCAGCAGCCGCUUCACAGCGUGUGUCUGCGGCGUGAUCGGGAACACGGAACUCUGCCACUGAGGACAAGAAAAACAAACGUACAUACUAAGCACAGACAAUGAAGAAGCGAAUAGCUUGUGAGAUACAGACAAAACUCACCAGACGGUUAAGUACCGCUAAUCAGUUAGUCCCCUGUGAGACAUACCAGCUAGAAAGUAAGCAGAGCGCAUGUGCGCCAACGUGGCUAGGACGAUGGGAGGACCAAGUAGGCACAAAUCUCCGUGAGGCAAAUGAUGCUCCAGAUACUCAUCAUGCACCGUAUGAUACACUUGAACUCGAAAUACUACAAUACGGUAAAUACACGGGAGGCAGCCAAGGCUCCAGAAUCCACGAUACACUAAUGUGCAGGAAGUGCAAGAGGCAGUCAACGUUCAUGAGUCUUAAGUUGGCCACUGUUUUAAAAUGUACCCAGAUUUAUUUUCACCAGGUAUGGUAAGAUGCAGACACAGCAAUUACUGUCGCGAAGGAAGAAGUUUCAUACUCACAGAUCCCUAGAAACAGGCCUGCGGAGGAGCCACACGGGGAAGCACGGAGGCCGGUCAGGAGGCAGAAUGAGAGGGGAAAGCAGAGGCAGGAGCCUUCACUGUGGUUUCCCAGAAGCAACAAGAAGCCGGGGUAGCACUAAUGUACAAUUUAGCUGAUGCUGAGUCUUCCCCAAGGCUGCAGGGUACAGCCUGGCAAAGGGAGAAACUCACCAUUUCCCACACUGUCUGCCAUCACUAUAUUGCACUGCCAAGGCAGAGAAGUUGGUCAGAAGAUUCUCCCACCAUCCAAUGGAUCAGAUGCUUAUUAGCGAGAUGCUGGUUAACAAGUGGCCAGUUGCUAACAGAACUUCAGUGGCGUACCAGGAACCCGCUGGACUUGAAGUCCAAAUUGUGUCAUUCUGAUUUUCUGGAACUACUGUCAUCUGUCUUUGCACAGUGCUUACUGGGUCUAUCCCCAACCCCUGUCAGGUGUUCUACAGAAAUGUUUGCUUUGAAUGGUGAUAAAGCAAUAAAGAUCACUCUCUACCUACCAUUCAUAUUCCCUCUUCUCUAAAAUUCUCUCUUCAGAGAACUGGGGUUCUCUAAAACUCUCUGAGAAGUUGACCUUAC
Molecule: long non-coding RNA, 2128 nt
Organism: Equus caballus (horse)
Lineage: Eukaryota; Metazoa; Chordata; Mammalia; Perissodactyla; Equidae
Source: Ensembl